RNAcentral lists this long non-coding RNA (675 nucleotides) under Scophthalmus maximus (turbot). Its description in RNAcentral is "lncRNA (ENSSMAG00000037062.1)". Lineage: Eukaryota; Metazoa; Chordata; Actinopteri; Pleuronectiformes; Scophthalmidae. The record is from RNAcentral.
AACUGGGUCCGUACAGGUCAAAUGCGACACCAUCCUGUGUGAUUUGAUUAUCCGCCUGCUGCCUCGAUGCAGCUACACCACCUCACUCUUUCAUUACAGGGGAAGCAGAGGUGGGGCGGGAAUGUGCUCAUCAUGAGGCAGUCACGGAUCUUGACUCGGUCUAGACGAGAGAUCUGAGAGUCUCCAUCCGUCAUCUUUCAGGAUCCUCCUCAUGCUUCAGUGGCGGUGGGAAGUGCACCUCUGCACAGGAAGUGUACACAGCUCCGUUUCCCAGGAGUCGCUUGGCUCAUCACCAGACGACAUUACGUUGGGCUUCAUGCUGUCAGCUGGAUGACUGAACCUGACGGAGUUCUGGUCCAGUCUUUGCUCUACACCUGCACUUGUGGUCUUCGCACUGCUGUCCGCAUGUCUUCCUUGACUGAAUGUUUGUGCCAAAUCUGGAGAAAUUCCCUUCAAGAUAUCAUGUUCAUGGGAAGGAUGAAGGAAGGAUGUACGGCCAGAUUGGCAACCUGAAAACUUAAUGCCUCCGGUAACAGUGUCAUAAAGGGCUGACACAAACUCAGGAGACCUUCAGGUAAGAUCACAGUUUUACAUUUUUUUUACUGUAAUUUUGACAAAAGUGUGUGAUAAACAUCAAUUGUCACUUUCAAACUGCACUUGAUGCAUAAUGUGUUG